Molecule: long non-coding RNA, 1226 nt
Organism: Daphnia magna
Lineage: Eukaryota; Metazoa; Arthropoda; Branchiopoda; Diplostraca; Daphniidae
Exons: 7
Source: RefSeq, a predicted model, not a curated record
CGCACGUGGUAAUUUGAUUUUAUUGUAAUAAAUUAGUAAUUUGCAACACUGUUUACUACACGCCUCCUGUUGGGCAUUGAAGAGAGCUUAUAUAAAGACUUUACCAUCGUGUAGUCAAGUUCUCUAAGAAAUUGGCGAUGCACGCACAUGUUUUAUGAAGAUUAACCUUGCAGUUGUAUGUGAAGAUAGCAAGUUUGUUGUUCAGAAAUUGUUGGCCUGGAGCAGGGAAUGUUGGAAGCCUGUUUCUUGCAAGUUUUUCAUCUGCAGGUUCACUUAGAUUGAAAUUGUAGGUUGGUGUUUGCAGUGAAACUGGCUUAUUUCAAGUUUUAGUCCAUUUCAAAGCCAGGUCAUCUGUAUCAUAAAUUAUCUUGAAAGGAAUGAGAGCUAUUGACUGUUAUCUGCCAGGUUUAUGGUUGGAAUUUUGACCAUGAUCAGAAACUUAACUGACAUAAUCAGGACUUAAUUAUUUGUUAUUGAAUUAUCUCAAAUCAAAAUCAAAUUUUAUUAAUUUGAUAUCCUUAUGAUGCCAUUGAUUUCUCAUGGAGGAACUAGGUUAACUUGAAACGAGGAGCUUGAUUUCACGAUGGAGAUCAUGUGGGAAGCGACAAGUUUCUUUAGUAUUCUGUGCACGGACAAUUUCUUCGAUGACGUCGUUUAGUAACCAAUGAUCAACCUGCUAUUGGUACUGGGCCAUGUGCUCGUGUUGCUUCGCGUAACAAUUUUGGGUAGAAAUUGAGGCCGAUAUAACUACUCGUGAUCUUCAUGAUUCCGGGGACUUAAGAUGGGAUUUGGUGCCAAAAGAAUUAAUUGGUUGAAAUGGCGUACGAAGAUUCCCUAUUUAAAGUUUUUGUGUUUUAUAGUUUAUAUUUAAAAAAAAUCUCUAAAACGUGACUAGGAUUUUGUUAACUGUGGCCCUUUUCCCACUGCCUUGUGAUAAAUUCGUGGCGGUACAGUUGUUACCUGAUCAGUUAAGGUUGGAAAUGUGUCUGGAGAAAUAAUUUGGUGAUGGUUCGAAGUUUUAUGCUGUUAACUGUUAAGGAUACGAUUGAAUGUUGAAUAACGGUAGAAUGCUGCUGUGAAUUCUCACCCUUGAAGGACGCUAUUUUCCGCCUUUUAAUUGCAACCCUAUGUAUAAUCGCGAUGGAUUUAUUGUUAAUUUUCCCAGGCUCUUUGUUAUAAAUAUUUUCAUUAUGUGAUGAAAUUUCAAUAAAAAAAUUUAAUGAUAA